Molecule: ribosomal RNA, 251 nt
Filed under: uncultured bacterium
Lineage: Bacteria
Description: partial 16S ribosomal RNA
Rfam family: Bacterial small subunit ribosomal RNA
Source: RNAcentral
ACGUAGGUGGCAAGCGUUAUCCGGAUUUACUGGGUGUAAAGGGCGAGUAGGCGGGAUUGCAAGUCAGAUGUGAAAACUAUGGGCUCAACCCAUAGACUGCAUUUGAAACUGUAGUUCUUGAGUGAUGGAGAGGCAGGCGGAAUUCCCGGUGUAGCGGUGGAAUGCGUAGAUAUCGGGAGGAACACCAGUGGCGAAGGCGGUCUGCUGGACAUUAACUGACGCUGAGGCGCGAAAGCGUGGGGAGCAAACAG